UUAGAAGCGCAUGAAGAGAUUCAAAGCCUUCGGAGGGCAGUUUUCUCUGAAGGAAUUACAGGAACCCAGUUGACGCUGUCGGAGGAAAACUUUUGGUAAGUCAGUUAUGUUUGGUUUUCUCUGUUCAAGACAGCUACUACCACUUAAACACCGGAGGACCCAUUUGGGAUUUCUUCAGCAAAAUGGUUUCUUUAUUGUCAAAUCGUUUACAUCAGUAGGCAGUUUACCUGAAUCUAAUCAAAAACCAGAAGAGGAGGAAAAACAUUCUUUUGCAGUGUCUUAUCUCAUAAACUCUUGUGGGUUGUCCACAAAAUCUGCUAUUUUAAGAUCCCGGAGGCUACUAUUUCAGAGCCCAGAGAGACCAGACUCGGUGUUGAAUCUUUUCAAAGAGAAUGGAUUCAACAAUGCCCAGAUCUCCAAAAUUGUUAGGAUGCAUCCCCUAAUUCUUUUAUCUGAUCCUGAGUAGACCCUUUUGCCCAAGAUUGAGUUUUUGCGUUCCAUAGGGGUUUCGAGCUCUGACCUCAUUGCCAUCAUCUCUUCAUACCCAUUUCUGUUCAGAUGCAACUUAAGGAAACGUGUUAUCCCCUGUGCUAUGAUUUCCUCAAGAGUGUACUUCUUGUUGACGAGAAAGUCCUGACAACUGUCAAGCGCUCACCACGAGCUUUUCUAAGUAAUGUAACGAAAACUAUGGCUCCUAACAUUGCACUUUUGAGACAACUUGGAGCGCCUCCAUCUACAAUCUCUUUCCUGGUAACUAAUUAUCUCUCUUCAGCUUUUAUUAAGCACACUAAGUUUGUUGAGGCUGUCCACCAGGUUAUGGAAAUGGGAUUCGAUCCAAUGAAAACGGCGUUUGUCGAGGCAAUCCAGGUGUUACUGAAGAAGAGUAAACCAAAGCUGGAAUGAAAAUUUGAGCUUUAUAGGAGGUGGGGUUGGUCAAAGGACAUGGCCCUCGCAGCAUUUAAAAGGUUUCCAAAUUGUAUGCUAUCUUCAGAAGAGAAGAUGACGAAAACAAUGGAUUUCCUUCUGAACAAAGUUGGUUGGCCACCAAAACAUAUUUCUACAAAUCCUGUAGUUAUAAAAUUAAGCUUGGAAAAGAGAAUUAUUCCUCGGUGGACGGUUGUUCAAAUUUUGCAAGCCAAGGGUUUGGUCAAGAAUAACUUGGCCUUGGGGACUUUCUUGAAACCGACUGAGAGGAAGUUUUUGGAGCUGUUUGUGAUCAGAUUUCAGGACGAUGUUCCUGAAUUAUUGAAUGUAUAUCAGGGUAAGAUGUCUUCUGGAUGUAGGAUUUCAGUCUAAGCCUCUAGUUUUCGUUCUUGAUUAUGAAGUCAUUGUGCAUAAAUGUGUGUGAAAGUGCUGGAGUUGGUUGGAAAUGCAGCUCGUGACAACAAGAACUGCUGGCUGUGAGGAACGAUGAAGACCUUGGGAAGUUACUGUUGCUCAUGGUGUUGUCUUUCCCAAUAUCAACCCUGUUCCCUUGCCCAAGAAGACGGCAGAAAAAGCUGCCGAAGGGCCCUAGUCUCCAUCCUGGGCCACCAAGUCUCUAAAGAAGCCUUAGCUUUCUCUAGUCAAUCGAGUUGCUUCUUUUUCAUUUGUAUGCAAUCUGGGAGUAGGAUGGGGAAAAUUGAUGAAUUUGAAAGAUCUUGUGACCUCUUUGUUAGGAUUUUCUCUGAAAUUAAUGGAUGAAACCACUUGUUUCAUUA
This is an RNA transcript of Corylus avellana, 1700 nucleotides long. RefSeq lists it as uncharacterized. NCBI's taxonomy places the organism in Eukaryota, Viridiplantae, Streptophyta, Magnoliopsida, Fagales, Betulaceae. The record is from RefSeq and is a predicted model, not a curated record.